Molecule: long non-coding RNA, 320 nt
Filed under: Elaeis guineensis (African oil palm)
Lineage: Eukaryota; Viridiplantae; Streptophyta; Magnoliopsida; Arecales; Arecaceae
Description: long non-coding RNA (EGUI_LNC037520)
Source: RNAcentral
CAUCUCGGAGCUGAAUACACUCCUCCGUGUCGUGACCGUGGUCACAAUGAUAGAGGCAAAACUUGUUAGGGUUGCACUUUCCAGGGUGUGUGCGCAUCCUUUCCGGCCUUGGCAGCUGCUCCCUGACCUCCAUCAGCACUUGGACUUUUGGAGCAUUGAGAGGGGUGUAGCUGUGGAAUCUUCCUGUGGGAGAGCUCCGUCGAACUCUGCGGUCCGAGCUCCUCUACCUACGAGCUCGGGGAGGAGUUCAGACACGCUUGUGUCUGGGGGGAGUUUGAGAAUGUGGUCAAGCUUCACUCGACCCUUUUUCAGUUGCAGGC